RNAcentral lists this ribosomal RNA (484 nucleotides) under uncultured bacterium. Its description in RNAcentral is "partial 16S ribosomal RNA". It matches the Rfam family "Bacterial small subunit ribosomal RNA", at positions 30 to 507 of the family's 1533-position model. The record is from RNAcentral.
AUUGAACGCUGGCGGCAGGCCUAACACAUGCAAGUCGAGCGGAUGAAGGGAGCUUGCUCCUGGAUUCAGCGGCGGACGGGUGAGUAAUGCCUAGGAAUCUGCCUGGUAGUGGGGGAUAACGUCCGGAAACGGGCGCUAAUACCGCAUACGUCCUGAGGGAGAAAGUGGGGGAUCUUCGGACCUCACGCUGUCAGAUGAGCCUAGGUCGGAUUAGCUAGUUGGUGGGGUAAAGGCCUACCAAGGCGACGAUCCGUAACUGGUCUGAGAGGGUGAUCAGUCACACUGGAACUGAGACACGGUCCAGACUCCUACGGGAGGCAGCAGUGGGGAAUAUUGGACAAUGGGCGAAAGCCUGAUCCAGCCAUGCCGCGUGUGUGAAGAAGGUCUUCGGAUUGUAAAGCACUUUAAGUUGGGAGGAAGGGCAGUAAGUUAAUACCUUGCUGUUUUGACGUUACCAACAGAAUAAGCACCGGCUAACUUCGUG